GCUCCAAUAGCGUAUAUUUAAGUUGUUGCAGUUAAAAAGCUCGUAGUUGGAUUUCGGUUGAGAACGGCCGGUCCGCCGUUUGGUGUGCACUGGCUGGUUUCAACUUCCUGUAGAGGACGCGCUCUGGCUUCACGGCUGGACGCGGAGUCUACGUGGUUACUUUGAAAAAAUUAGAGUGUUCAAGCGGGCUUACGCUUGAA
This 200-nucleotide ribosomal RNA is filed under the name uncultured eukaryote. RNAcentral's name for it is "partial 18S ribosomal RNA". It matches the Rfam family "Eukaryotic small subunit ribosomal RNA", at positions 588 to 799 of the family's 1831-position model. The record is from RNAcentral.